UACGAAGGGGGCUAGCGUUGCUCGGAAUCACUGGGCGUAAAGCGCACGUAGGCGGGUCGUUAAGUCGGGGGUGAAAUCCUGGAGCUCAACUCCAGAACUGCCUUCGAUACUGGCGAUCUUGAGUCUGGGAGAGGUGAGUGGAACUCCGAGUGUAGAGGUGAAAUUCGUAGAUAUUCGGAAGAACACCCGUGGCGAAGGCGGCUCUCUGGGACGGUACUGACGCUGAGACGCGAAAGCGUGGGGAGCGAACAGG
Molecule: ribosomal RNA, 253 nt
Filed under: uncultured bacterium
Lineage: Bacteria
Description: partial 16S ribosomal RNA
Rfam family: Bacterial small subunit ribosomal RNA
Source: RNAcentral